Molecule: transfer RNA, 76 nt
Filed under: Mycoplasma sp. CAG:776
Lineage: Bacteria; Bacillati; Mycoplasmatota; Mollicutes; Mycoplasmatales; Mycoplasmataceae
Also listed under: 2 other names
Description: transfer RNA-Asn(GTT)
Rfam family: tRNA
About the family: Transfer RNA (tRNA) molecules are approximately 80 nucleotides in length. Their secondary structure includes four short double-helical elements and three loops (D, anti-codon, and T loops). Further hydrogen bonds mediate the characteristic L-shaped molecular structure. tRNAs have two regions of fundamental functional importance: the anti-codon, which is responsible for specific mRNA codon recognition, and the 3' end, to which the tRNAs corresponding amino acid is attached (by aminoacyl-tRNA synthetases). tRNAs cope with the degeneracy of the genetic code in two manners: having more than one tRNA (with a specific anti-codon) for a particular amino acid; and 'wobble' base-pairing, i.e. permitting non-standard base-pairing at the 3rd anti-codon position.
Source: RNAcentral
GCUCGUUUAGCUCAGUCGGUAGAGCGCACGGCUGUUAACCGUUAGGUCGUAGGUUCGAGUCCUACAACGAGCGCCA